Molecule: transfer RNA, 74 nt
Organism: Gossypium arboreum
Lineage: Eukaryota; Viridiplantae; Streptophyta; Magnoliopsida; Malvales; Malvaceae
Rfam family: tRNA
About the family: Transfer RNA (tRNA) molecules are approximately 80 nucleotides in length. Their secondary structure includes four short double-helical elements and three loops (D, anti-codon, and T loops).
Source: Rfam
GGGAUUGUAGUUCAAUUGGUCAGAGCACCGCCCUGCCAAGGUGGAAGCUGUAGGUUCAAGCCCCGUCAGUCCCA